Molecule: microRNA, 23 nt
Filed under: Macaca mulatta (Rhesus monkey)
Lineage: Eukaryota; Metazoa; Chordata; Mammalia; Primates; Cercopithecidae
Description: mml-miR-7166-3p
Source: miRBase by way of RNAcentral
GUGGAAGGUCUCACCUGUAAGAG